RNAcentral lists this ribosomal RNA (1777 nucleotides) under human gut metagenome. Its description in RNAcentral is "bacterial LSU rRNA". It matches the Rfam family "Bacterial large subunit ribosomal RNA", at positions 1169 to 2925 of the family's 2925-position model. The record is from RNAcentral.
GAUGUAACGGGGCUAAACCAUGCACCGAAGCUGCGGCAGCGACACUAUGUGUUGUUGGGUAGGGGAGCGUUCUGUAAGCCUGCGAAGGUGACCUGUGAGGGUUGCUGGAGGUAUCAGAAGUGCGAAUGCUGACAUAAGUAACGAUAAAGCGGGUGAAAAGCCCGCUCGCCGGAAGACCAAGGGUUCCUGUCCAACGUUAAUCGGGGCAGGGUGAGUCGACCCCUAAGGCGAGGCCGAAAGGCGUAGUCGAUGGGAAACAGGUUAAUAUUCCUGUACUUGGUGUUACUGCGAAGGGGGGACGGAGAAGGCUAUGUUAGCCGGGCGACGGUUGUCCCGGUUUAAGCAUGUAGGCUGGUUGUCCAGGCAAAUCCGGAUAAUCAAGGCUGAGGUGUGAUGACGAGGCACUACGGUGCUGAAGUAACAAAUGCCCUGCUUCCAGGAAAAGCCUCUAAGCAUCAGGUAACAUUAAAUCGUACCCCAAACCGACACAGGUGGUCAGGUAGAGAAUACCAAGGCGCUUGAGAGAACUCGGGUGAAGGAACUAGGCAAAAUGGUGCCGUAACUUCGGGAGAAGGCACGCUGGUGUGUAGGUGAAGUCCCUGCGGAUGGAGCUGAGACCAGUCGAAGAUACCAGCUGGCUGCAACUGUUUAUUAAAAACACAGCACUGUGCAAACACGAAAGUGGACGUAUACGGUGUGACGCCUGCCCGGUGCCGGAAGGUUAAUUGAUGGGGUUAUCCGUAAGGAGAAGCUCUUGAUCGAAGCCCCGGUAAACGGCGGCCGUAACUAUAACGGUCCUAAGGUAGCGAAAUUCCUUGUCGGGUAAGUUCCGACCUGCACGAAUGGCGUAAUGAUGGCCAGGCUGUCUCCACCCGAGACUCAGUGAAAUUGAACUCGCUGUGAAGAUGCAGUGUACCCGCGGCAAGACGGAAAGACCCCGUGAACCUUUACUAUAGCUUGACACUGAACAUUGAGCCUUGAUGUGUAGGAUAGGUGGGAGGCUUUGAAGCGUGGACGCCAGUCUGCGUGGAGCCAACCUUGAAAUACCACCCUUUAAUGUUUGAUGUUCUAACGUUGGCCCCUGACCGGGGUUGCGGACAGUGUCUGGUGGGUAGUUUGACUGGGGCGGUCUCCUCCCAAAGCGUAACGGAGGAGCACGAAGGUUAGCUAAUCCUGGUCGGACAUCAGGAGGUUAGUGCAAUGGCAUAAGCUAGCUUGACUGCGAGCGUGACGGCGCGAGCAGGUGCGAAAGCAGGUCAUAGUGAUCCGGUGGUUCUGAAUGGAAGGGCCAUCGCUCAACGGAUAAAAGGUACUCCGGGGAUAACAGGCUGAUACCGCCCAAGAGUUCAUAUCGACGGCGGUGUUUGGCACCUCGAUGUCGGCUCAUCACAUCCUGGGGCUGAAGUAGGUCCCAAGGGUAUGGCUGUUCGCCAUUUAAAGUGGUACGCGAGCUGGGUUUAGAACGUCGUGAGACAGUUCGGUCCCUAUCUGCCGUGGGCGCUGGAGAAUUGAGGGGGGCUGCUCCUAGUACGAGAGGACCGGAGUGGACGCAUCACUGGUGUUCGGGUUGUCAUGCCAAUGGCACUGCCCGGUAGCUAAAUGCGGAAGAGAUAAGUGCUGAAAGCAUCUAAGCACGAAACUUGCCCCGAGAUGAGUUCUCCCUGAGACUUUAAGUCUCCUGAAGGAACGUUAAAGACGAUGACGUUGAUAGGCCGGGUGUGUAAGCGCAGCGAUGCGUUGAGCUAACCGGUACUAAUGAACCGUGAGGCUUAACCUU